AACGAACGCUGGCGGCAUGCCUAACACAUGCAAGUCGAACGUGAUCCGGGGCUUGCUCCGGUGAAAGUGGCGGACGGGUGAGUAACGCGUGGGAACCUGCCCAGUGGUCGGGGAUAACUGCGGGAAACUGCAGCUAAUACCCGGUAAGCCCUAUGGGGGAAAGAUUUAUCGCCAUUGGAGGGGCCCGCGUCGGAUUAGGUAGUUGGUGGGGUAAAGGCCUACCAAGCCUUCGAUCCGUAGCUGGUCUGAGAGGAUGAUCAGCCACACUGGGACUGAGAUACGGCCCAGACUCCUACGGGAGGCUG
This 305-nucleotide ribosomal RNA is filed under the name uncultured Pseudomonadota bacterium. Its description in RNAcentral is "bacterial SSU rRNA". It matches the Rfam family "Bacterial small subunit ribosomal RNA", at positions 29 to 351 of the family's 1533-position model. The record is from RNAcentral. Lineage: Bacteria; Pseudomonadati; Pseudomonadota.